RNAcentral lists this ribosomal RNA (495 nucleotides) under uncultured bacterium. Its description in RNAcentral is "partial 16S ribosomal RNA". It matches the Rfam family "Bacterial small subunit ribosomal RNA", at positions 28 to 523 of the family's 1533-position model. The record is from RNAcentral.
GAUGAACGCUGGCGGCGUACUUAACACAUGCAAGUCGAGCGAAGCACUUAUGAUUGACUUUUCGGAGGAUUUCAUUUGUGACUGAGCGGCGGACGGGUGAGUAACGCGUGGGUAACCUGCCUCAUACAGGGGGAUAACAGUUAGAAAUGACUGCUAAUACCGCAUAAGCGCACAGUACCGCAUGGUACAGUGUGAAAAACUCCGGUGGUAUGAGAUGGACCCGCGUUUGAUUAGCUAGUUGGUGAGGUAACGGCCCACCAAGGCGACGAUCAAUAGCCGAGCUGGGAGGGUGACCGGCCACAUCGGGACUGGGACACGGCCCAAUCUCCGACGGGAGGCAGCAGUGGGGGGUAUUGCACAAUGGGGGAAACCCUGAUGCAGCAACGCCGCGUGAGUGGAGGAGUAGUUCGGUAUGUAAUGCUCUAUCAGCAGGGAAGAAAAUGACGGUACCUGAGUAAGAAGCCCCGGCUAACGACGUGGCAGCCGCCGCCGUAA